RNAcentral lists this ribosomal RNA (253 nucleotides) under uncultured bacterium. RNAcentral describes it as "partial 16S ribosomal RNA". It matches the Rfam family "Bacterial small subunit ribosomal RNA", at positions 524 to 776 of the family's 1533-position model. The record is from RNAcentral.
UACGUAGGGUCCGAGCGUUGUCCGGAAUUACUGGGCGUAAAGAGCGUGUAGGCGGCCUGACAGGUCUGCUGUGAAAACUCGAGGCUCAACCUCGAGAUGUCGGCGGAAACCGUCUGGCUAGAGUCCGGAAGAGGAGAGUGGAAUUCCUGGUGUAGCGGUGAAAUGCGCAGAUAUCAGGAAGAACACCUAUGGCGAAGGCAGCUCUCUGGGACGGUACUGACGCUGAGACGCGAAAGCGUGGGGAGCGAACAGG